UUGUCUUUGGUCUUUGCAGCUUUGCUUGGUUGGAAUCUCACUGGGGUUUCACUCAUUCCUCCCAAUCUGAAAAAUUAUCCCCACUUUGAUCUUAACUUUCAUGGUCCAAAUCAUUAUCAUCACUACCACCACCAAGGGCAGGGCCCGGGUUGAGCCCUGGGUCCUGGUUGAGGGCAACCUAAGUGUUAUUGUACAUCUAGAUAGUAUGGCCAAACAAUACCGAAUUACAAGAUUUGUACACUUACAAAAUUAGAGCCUUUCGCUUACUAGCUAUGCUGGGAGGUGCCGUGGGACUCUAGGCGUAGGCACAACCACAUCGCGA
This 322-nucleotide long non-coding RNA is filed under the name Vitis vinifera (wine grape). RNAcentral describes it as "long non-coding RNA (VVIN_LNC004340)". The record is from RNAcentral. Lineage: Eukaryota; Viridiplantae; Streptophyta; Magnoliopsida; Vitales; Vitaceae.